RNAcentral lists this long non-coding RNA (263 nucleotides) under Lathyrus oleraceus (garden pea). Its description in RNAcentral is "Pisum sativum (pea) long non-coding RNA (PSAT_LNC028807)". The record is from RNAcentral. Lineage: Eukaryota; Viridiplantae; Streptophyta; Magnoliopsida; Fabales; Fabaceae.
AAACCGCAACAACAAUAUAUAUACAUAAUAAAUAAAUAAAUAAAUCGAAACAGAAAUUAUUCAAAAUUCAACAACACUAUUAUAAAUAAAACAUAAAAACUAUAUAUACAUAUAAACUAUAAAAGAGAAGAAAAAAAUAUAAUAUAUUAAACAAAUCUAAGUAAGACUAAUAUAUAAAGGAAAAGAACAAUAUUAUAUUAUAGAAAAAUAAUGUAAAGAGAUUGGAAAUUUUGGUUGCAUGUGACAAUCUAUGCUGACACUAA